RNAcentral lists this non-coding RNA (49 nucleotides) under Diaphorina citri (Asian citrus psyllid). Lineage: Eukaryota; Metazoa; Arthropoda; Insecta; Hemiptera; Psyllidae. The record is from RNAcentral.
GUCCAACUGAUGAGUCCAAAAUAAUAAGGACGAAACACGUGUCUUGGGC